GACGUAGGGCGCGAGCGUUGUCCGGAUUUAUUGGGCGUAAAGAGCUCGUAGGCGGCUUGUCGCGUCGUCCGUGAAAACCUGCGGCUCAACCUUGGGCUUGCAGUGGGUACGGGCAGACUAGAGUGCGGUAGGGGUGACUGGAAUUCCUGGUGUAGCGGUGGAAUGCGUAGAGAUCGGGAAGAACAUCGGUGGCGAAAGCGCUCUGCUGGACUGCAACUGACACUCAGGGACGAAAGCUAGGGGAGCGAAUGGG
RNAcentral lists this ribosomal RNA (253 nucleotides) under uncultured bacterium. RNAcentral's name for it is "partial 16S ribosomal RNA". It matches the Rfam family "Bacterial small subunit ribosomal RNA", at positions 524 to 776 of the family's 1533-position model. The record is from RNAcentral.